GUAGGUGGCAAGCGUUGUCCGGAAUUAUUGGGCGUAAAGCGCGCGCAGGUGGUUCUUUAAGUCUGAUGUGAAAGCCCCCGGGCUCAACCGGGGAGGGUCAUUGGAAACUGGGGAACUUGAGUGCAGGAGAGGAAAGUGGAAUUCCACGUGUAGCGGUGAAAUGCGUAGAUAUGUGGAGGAACACCAGUGGCGAAGGCGACUUUCUGGCCUGUAACUGACACUGAGGCGCGAAAGCGUGGGGAGCAAACAGGAUUAGAUACCCUGGUAGUCCACGCCGUAAACGAUGAGUGCUAAGUGUUGGGGGGUUUCCGCCACUCAGUGCUGCAGCUAACGCAUUAAGCACUCCGCCUGGGGAGUACGGUCGCAAAGACUG
RNAcentral lists this ribosomal RNA (373 nucleotides) under uncultured organism. RNAcentral describes it as "partial 16S ribosomal RNA". It matches the Rfam family "Bacterial small subunit ribosomal RNA", at positions 527 to 896 of the family's 1533-position model. The record is from RNAcentral.